AAAAGGGCCCAAUGAUACCAUCAGGUGGUCUUGGAGAUUUUGCCUCCAACUCAGGUGGGUGCCAAUUCUACUUUGUAACAUUUCCUCCUCUUGUUACCACCCAGAAGGAGAUGGCAGCUGUUGCCUGAUGACCCAGAAAAGUGUCUGAUUAGUAGCUGCAAGUGCACCCACCAAAAACAAUUACUGCACUUGUUCAGUCCAUCUGGGAGGGAGACUGAAGUAGCUCAGAGGGUGAGCAAAAGGAGAGGGAAGCUGCUCUUGGUUUUGCGUGUUCAACCUCUUUAAGUGACAGAACAAACAGUAAGAGUUGUCCAGAAUGAACUUAAGCGAAAGUUUAACAGUUGCUCCAUACAAGGAUAUGGGCUCUUUCCCUACCAUUUGUCUGUCUAGAUAGUACAGCAGCUUAGAUCAAGCGCCAUAGCAGCCAAGGAACAGAACAUGUAAGCUGCCCCUCGCUCACCCUGCCAGUCCUCAUUGCACUCCCCACCCCCCGACCCCCCAAGCAAGGAGAGAGGCUACUCUCUCGUCCUCUCGAUAGCGCACCAGCACUCGCUCUCUGGGGAACGUGGGUUCGGCCCCGGACACUCCACGGCACUGCCACGGCCACUUUGACAAGAGAGGGGAGCGGGUCGGGGGGGGGGUUUGCAAAACACUCGCCUUCAAAAAAAAAAAAAAGGAANAAAACACGCAUAGAACAAAAGGGGGGGGGGGGGGGGAGAGCGACAGGCAAUUCGCCAGGAAGAAUAGGAUAAACACGUUAGUCGCAGAGAGAGGCGUGCCAAAAGGCUUCACAUGGACCCACCUCAGAGACCCGGGACCACGCACGGCGUCAGGCUUUGCCCGGCAGGAACGGCCAGCCAGCAAACACCAGCUUCUCUGAGACCAUCUGAAUCAGGACAACAGCCUGAGAGAAAAGGAUUAAGUGCUGCUGGCACUGCAUCAGUUUCCGGAUUGGGCAGGGCAAGCCAAACGGAAAGAUGCACCACUUGUAGAGGAUUUGGAAUGGUCGGAAACCUCUUAUGCUGGCAAAAAUGCCCUCAUGCUGGUAGUACCUUCCUGUGCCAGCUGAUCUUAGAGAUCCACUGGCAUAUAGAUCUACUGGUAGGGAUACUUUGCCAGGAAAUGAACCAGAAAAAGGACACGGAAGGGGAGCAGUUGAGUUAUGCCAGUCCCAAGUUAUUCCAGACCGGAUUCGCAGCCACUAUGCAUACAUUUCAGACAGGGUCAGGAUGAUAAUGACAGCAAUGACAACAACAACAUGCCUUCAGGUCAUUUCUGAUUGAUGGCGACCAUUUGCAACCACAUUGCAAUGUAAUUCCCAGCAUCCUUAUGCUGCAAAGGGUUCUCAAUCAGUAUUGUCUCAGCUGGUCUUCUGCCAACUUGCCAGCCCUGGAUUUUUGGAUUGCUCCCUAUUGCAUUUGUCUCCUCUGUGGCUGCUCCAGAUAAAAUGCACAGUAGUAACCAUAGGGAAAGUGAAAAUCAAACUCAGUAAAGCAGAGUGCACAACUUUCAGACCUCCAAAUGUUGCUGGACUCCCUCCCAUCAUCCCUCACCAUUAGCUAUGCUGGCCAGUGCCAUAAUUGCCCACCCCAGAAAAAUAGGAAAAUGUUAUACAAAUAUUUGUUGCCUACAGUUACUCAUUGUCAAAGGACUGAUACUCAGUUUAAUAUUUUCUACUUAAAUCUCUCUCCACUUAUUUUUUUAAAAUAUGGCUUUUCCAACUCUUAAUCAGUGCCAAGUCUAUUUUUCAUUUAAAUCUUUGGCUUGUCAAGCCCAACAUCAGGACAAGAUGAAAAAAAAUCCCAUUAAUAGUUCAGAUUUGACAGAUAUAUAUAUAUAUAUUUUAAAUGUCUCAUCCAAUUUGGUGUUUAUGAAAUUAUGUGACAAACAGAACUGGCUGCUUCUCUCAGUUCUCAGAUGAUACAACUGAGGACAAGAAGACUCAAAAUAAGCAUGAUUUCUGCACGAGCAAAAUCCAGCACUUCAGGGUCACUUUGUGGGAAAAGACAGGAUUCGAAAAUAAAGACCUGUGAGUACGUAGGUGUCUUUGUGCA
Long non-coding RNA from Pogona vitticeps (central bearded dragon), 2054 nucleotides. The record is from Ensembl. NCBI's taxonomy places the organism in Eukaryota, Metazoa, Chordata, Lepidosauria, Squamata, Agamidae.